UUCAAACGCCGAUCGUAAAGAAUUGGCUAAAUCCAAUUUUGCCGAAUUUACAGAAGAACGGGUUAAACA
Molecule: unclassified non-coding RNA, 69 nt
Filed under: Maribacter dokdonensis
Lineage: Bacteria; Pseudomonadati; Bacteroidota; Flavobacteriia; Flavobacteriales; Flavobacteriaceae
Description: Flavo-1 RNA
Source: RNAcentral